UACGGAGGGUGCAAGCGUUAAUCGGAAUUACUGGGCGUAAAGCGCGCGUAGGCGGUUUUGUAAGUCGGAUGUGAAAGCCCAGGGCUUAACCCUGGAAUUGCAUUCGAUACUGCAUGACUAGAGUAUGGUAGAGGGAAGUGGAAUUUCAAGUGUAGCGGUGAAAUGCGUAGAUAUUUGAAGGAACACCAGUGGCGAAGGCGACUUCCUGGGCCAAUACUGACGCUGAGGUGCGAAAGCGUGGGGAGCGAACAGG
Molecule: ribosomal RNA, 253 nt
Filed under: uncultured bacterium
Lineage: Bacteria
Description: partial 16S ribosomal RNA
Rfam family: Bacterial small subunit ribosomal RNA
Source: RNAcentral